Molecule: small nuclear RNA, 145 nt
Organism: Homalodisca vitripennis (glassy-winged sharpshooter)
Lineage: Eukaryota; Metazoa; Arthropoda; Insecta; Hemiptera; Cicadellidae
Product: U4 spliceosomal RNA
Exons: 1
Source: RefSeq, a predicted model, not a curated record
CGUAAAACACAGUGGCAAUAUCGUAACCAAUGAAGUUCAUAUGAGGUGCGAUUAUUGCUUAUUGAAAACUUAAACAUUAGUACUUACCGAAAUAUCUUCCAAAUACUUUGAUACAUCUCUUAUUAUUUUUGAUCAUUUUAAUAUG